GGGUGUGAGGGGACCUCCUGGGAGAGUAGGAGCUGGGGGGCCUCAAGGAUAUAGAGGAGAUGCAGGAGUUCCAGGGAAACCAGGACCUAAAGGCCUGCAGGGCCAACCUGGAGCCAAGGGGGAGACAGGACCCGAUGGUGAGAAGGGUGGGGUUGGAAGAACUGGAGUGAAGGGAGGA
Long non-coding RNA from Coregonus clupeaformis (lake whitefish), 178 nucleotides. RefSeq lists it as uncharacterized. The record is from RefSeq and is a predicted model, not a curated record. NCBI's taxonomy places the organism in Eukaryota, Metazoa, Chordata, Actinopteri, Salmoniformes, Salmonidae. The transcript has 4 exons.